This is a long non-coding RNA of Panicum virgatum (switchgrass), 472 nucleotides long. RefSeq lists it as uncharacterized. NCBI's taxonomy places the organism in Eukaryota, Viridiplantae, Streptophyta, Magnoliopsida, Poales, Poaceae. The transcript is spliced from 2 exons. The record is from RefSeq and is a predicted model, not a curated record.
UUUUUUGAGACAUUGCUGAUAUCAGUUCCAGAAACGGUAGGAUUGGCAAUAUGUAAUAUUUAUAAGAAAAGGGAACAAUAAUCACUGGAGAGGUCAAGAAGACGACCAUUGCUCAAAAGAGUAUUUUUGGAGUAUAAGAUGUAUUAAUCUGUCCUAUUAUAUAAGUUGAGUAACCACAUUUUGUUAUAGCAAUGGACUAACAUUGAGCCAUAUAACAUGUGAAACUUGUGGCGCCGGCUCCUAUUCCCCACUCCUUCAUCAUGGACAACACAACAAGGUAUGUGCAUUUAUGCUGAGUCUAUGACUAAAGAAGACAAUCCUUGUGUGCUUUUCUCAUGUAAAAUUACACACUUCUGUAACUUUGUGUCAACAAAUUAGAAGUCCUUAAAAUCUCUGCAGUGAUCAUUUAUUGAACGAUUAUAACACAUUCCGUUUUAUCUGUAAGAGAGCAUAUAGGCUUAUUUACCUGCUU